RNAcentral lists this long non-coding RNA (760 nucleotides) under Bos taurus (domestic cattle). RNAcentral describes it as "long non-coding RNA NONBTAT023406". The record is from RNAcentral. Lineage: Eukaryota; Metazoa; Chordata; Mammalia; Artiodactyla; Bovidae.
AGUCAUCUUUUUAUAUUUUAACCAAGCAGUCUAUUAUGGGCAUCAUUAUGUAUGUUGAACACUGAAAUUUAUUUUUUACUUCACCAGUUCCCUGCUGUUGAACAACUGGGAUCUUUGUACCUUCCUUUAAAAAUUACAAAUAAUGCUACAUUGGUAUUAGCAUCUUUCAUUAUUGGAAUGUAACGUUUGCUUUUAACAGUGCUGAGGUUGAUUAUUAUUUAAACUCAAGAGUUUAAAUUCUGAGAAUUUCAAUAAUUUUAUUCCUUGAUAGUUUUGUUUAGUGUGAAUAUUGUUUCCUGUGAUUUGUUGAAACAUAUGUCUACAUCCAUGUUUGUACAAAGCGUUACUCUUUGGUUGACAGUUAUAUCAACUUUUUUUUCUACUCUUAAGCAGUGGAAUGUAAAUACUGCUAAUGAUAUGAUGUCACACCCACAGCUCAAAUUAUUCCCGCAUUAAAAUGGAAGACUUCAUUUAAAGUGAGCUUUUUUAAAUUUUUACUUAUUUAGAAAAGUCAUUCCAAGAAUGUCAUUUUUUAAAAAAAGUUUGAAAUGUGCCCAUUUAAAAUUUCACCUUGAGUGGUUCUGUAUGCCUUUAGAAUUCGGUUGUUUUAGGACAUUCCCGAACAUCAGUAUUUAUCCUUUGAGAUAGGAUAUAUAGUAUGAUCUGACAGUGGCUCAAAUUAGGCCUUGUUACCCAAUGUCCUUCUGUUUAAAUUCCCAAGAGUUAAAUUUUACCAUAGUAGCAACUAAAAGAAGCCUAA